This 1127-nucleotide long non-coding RNA is filed under the name Equus asinus (donkey). Its description in RNAcentral is "lncRNA (ENSEASG00005026909.1)". The record is from RNAcentral. Lineage: Eukaryota; Metazoa; Chordata; Mammalia; Perissodactyla; Equidae.
CAAAAUAUUUUCUAAGAUUGCUUCCCCUAUUGUCUUUCCUCCUUUUUAUCUAGACCUUCUCUUUAUUUUGCUCUUACUGUCUCCAUCUUGCUUAAUUUACAUCCUCGUGUCAGUAGUUUAUUUUUUGCGUGUGUCUUUGUCUAGGAAAAGAGCUCAGGUUCUUGUCUUUGUUUUGUUUUCUUUUAGUUUUGAGCAUUUUUAAGCCUAAGACUGCUUCAGCCUUCUCACCUUGCUGCGAAUCCCAUAUUCUCACUGUAUUAAUUGUGCAAAAUUCUCUCAGUUGCAGCUACUUUUUCAAAUUGGUCUGCCACCCUUUUCAGUAAAUGCCUGUUAGAUGUUUUCGGAUUCACUCUACUGCUUUUCUUUUCUUCCUCCCACAGAACUACUGAUGUCACUCUUUACUUACAACUAUUGAUGUUUCGUCCCCAUCUGCUCACAUUUUGCUGUUCAUGUCGAUAAUUUAUCACCAGUGAGGAAGAUUGGCCCUGAGCUAACAUCUGUGCCAAUCUUCUUCUAUUUUGUAAGUGGGAUGCUUCCAAAGCAUGGCUUGAUGAGCAAUGUGUAUGUCCAUGCCUGGGAUCCAAACCUGCAAACCCUGGGCCGCCAAAGCAGAGAAUGUGAACUUAACCACUAUGCCACCAGGCACAAUGCGAUUGGAGAAGCACUAUCCCAGAUGCCUUGUGAGCCAGCAGAUACACCAAGCAGAGACGGUGAAUCAGGGCCAGCUUAAUCCACGAAGCUCAGCAGACACAGUGCCUAGAGCUCACACUUUAAGGAGCCCAUGAAGUCAUUUUCAUUUCUUUUAAAACAAUAAUUAAAAAGUAAACUUUGCAUAGAAUAUUUUAAUAUAUAAUCCUAGUAUAUUCAGCUUGUUACAAGCACAACUGUAAAAUAUGAUUUUUCGUGUUUUUUUUAUGGAAGAAGAGGCCCAGGAAACCAUAGGUUCCCAGGGCUCACAAAAAUCAUAAUACAGCUUCGUGAUGAAGAAGAAAACACUCUCAAAUGAAAGAAAUCCUAGACAGUGUCUCAGGGGCAUCUCCUUUUUUAUCUGUGUCAUUAAUUGUUUGAUCUGUUUUUCAGAAAGGCUAUAAACUCCUCCAGAAAAGAUCUUAAUAGAAAUCAAUAAU